This 253-nucleotide ribosomal RNA is filed under the name uncultured bacterium. RNAcentral describes it as "partial 16S ribosomal RNA". It matches the Rfam family "Bacterial small subunit ribosomal RNA", at positions 524 to 776 of the family's 1533-position model. The record is from RNAcentral.
UACGUAGGGUGCGAGCGUUGUCCGGAAUUAUUGGGCGUAAAGAGCUCGUAGGCGGUUUGUCACGUCUGCUGUGAAAUCCCGAGGCUCAACCCCGGGCCUGCAGCCGAUACGGGCAGACUAGAGUUCGGCAGGGGAGACUGGAAUUCCUGGUGUAGCGGUGAAAUGCGCAGAUAUCAGGAGGAACACCGGUGGCGAAGGCGGGUCUCUGGGCCGAUACUGACGCUGAGGAGCGAAAGCGUGGGGAGCGAACAGG